Tigriopus californicus is the source of this 1750-nucleotide long non-coding RNA. RefSeq lists it as uncharacterized. NCBI's taxonomy places the organism in Eukaryota, Metazoa, Arthropoda, Copepoda, Harpacticoida, Harpacticidae. The record is from RefSeq and is a predicted model, not a curated record. The transcript has 5 exons.
UUAAUUCUCGCUCCUUGGAGUUUCGCCACUUCAUGCGUCGAUUUUGAAACCAUAUCUUCACCUGGAAGAGAGAACCGGAAAAGUUAAGCCUUCUGAUGUGAAGUCGUCUCCUUUUGAGGGCGGAAGAAGGUGUGGUGAUGAAUUCAUUUGAGUCUGCCAAAAAGAGAACUCUGAGAACCAAGUUGGGGGUUUGCGAGCUUUUCGGACAAAAGUAUCUCGGGGGAAAUCAAACAUGCUUUUUUACAAAAUUUCCUCCGUUUGGUCUCGAUUAGAAAAUGACUUCAAGUUUCACAACACUACCAAGGGUAAACUGGCUUCAAGAGCUGCUGGUGGUCCUUUCGGGACGAGAAAAAUGAUGUCCUGAAUGAAAAGAAACAGUCAUUUGUCAUGAACAACGACGACGACUUGCUCGGAGAUCACACUCAAGGUUCAGGCAGUCUUUGAGAUGAAAGUCAAAUCAAACGCCCCAGUACAUUCAUCGGCGCUAGCGAUCUUCUCCAAGAUAAGCAAAACGACAAAUCCGACAGUAUCGUACUAUGGGCAGAGAGAGAGAGAGAGAGCAUCCGUUUUCUUUUCUCAUUUUACCCAAUUUUGCUCCGGGACACACAAAAACUCGGUUUCGAUGACAAAACGACGCGAAAAAAUUGAUGGAUGAUCUUGAUCAAUUUGGGUUCCAAAAGCGUGAACAAUCCGAUAUCCUCCGAUCGUGAUACCACCAUCGCCGCCAUCAUCAUCAUCACUAUCAUCCCAAUCCAGGCACAUAGUGCAGCACAAUGGUUGGUUGCACACUUGGAUGCACUUCAUUCAGUCACAUUUUGUGAAAUGGAGCAGCACUCUGUUUGAAAAUAAGUCCUGAUGGCUCGUGACAAAGCUGUUUGCACUCCAUCAUCAUCAUCAUUCUACAAAAGAGAACAAGAUGGGAGUCACAAAAGUUGGACCUUCUCGGGCGAAGAGGGUGUCUCACGCGGCUGCCCACAUCGAAUUGGACGGCGAAGGAUCAAUUCAAACACCCUGUGGGGCUCAUCCAUCUCAGUGGGAGGUACAGGCGAGGGCAAUUUUCUAUUUUCAAGCCUGAUUUGUUGACAGGAAUGCUUGCAACUCAAUUCGGCCUCACUUUGGAAGAGUGAGCGAUCCUACCGACAGCCAGCUACCAUUAGGUUGCAAUCAAUGAAAAAAGGUUGGAUGAGAGAAAAGACACGUCGUUGGGCUUGAUGAUGGAUUUUCAUUCUGAGGCGAGGCAGAUGUGACAUUCAAGACCUUCUCCGCUGACCCUAGUAAGAGAAUAGUCAACGAAGAAGGACCAUUGGCUUCAAUUUGAUGGAUUGGACGGCUGUUGACACAAGGAUACUUUGGGAGGGUAUUGUGGGCAAGCUGUUAUGCACUUCUUGGAUGGAAGCUCCAAAGGGACCCCAAUGGACUUGCGAGUCAAAAUAAUCGCUACUGAUCUCUCCCCAUUGACUGCGAACACUCACCAACCAUCUAACCAUUGUUCUGGAGGAGAUGGGCAAAAUUUAGGAUUCUCUCCCACUGAUCAUCAAACGGAAAAUUGUAAGACAGAAAAGGGACACUCAAAGCGAUAAAUACAUCAAAUGAGUUUGAAUAAUAAGUAAUAAUAAGUAUCAAUUCAAGUGCAAUUUUUGUAGCUUUCUAGUGGAAGGAUUGAUUCGGAGAUAUCAUUUUUUAUUGUUUGAACCACUCAUACAUCAAGUUUGAUGAUAAAGACUUUGGGUUAAGAAAUUGUAACGGAAAA